GCUUAACCCCAUUUGAAAACUUCUCGAAAGAAGUCGGUAAUGAAUAACAACUUGUAGGAGAUGUGGGUAUUGAUCUUGAGCUAGAAGAUGAUUUUACUCUCAUUAGAGAAUCCUUCUUCUCCACUACAUUUAAUGCUAACUUUGACAAGUGGGACUUCGACCAAGUCAAAGUAGGCUUCUUUUUUUCCACUUUUUCCUGUUUGGUACCACCAUUUGAUCUCGAAACUGCAGAUUUAUUAUCUUUCGCCGCCACAUGACUAUUACCUAAUGCUUUUGAAGGAGACUUAGUUUUGUCUCGCGAUUUUGAACCAGGAGACAGAUUACCAUUGUUAUUUAGGAAGCCUAAAGAAUGAGUUGCUACUAUAUCUUCGGGAGUUCCAACACAAGGGUGUCGUCCAGGGACGGGC
RNAcentral lists this unclassified non-coding RNA (407 nucleotides) under Hevea brasiliensis (rubber tree). Lineage: Eukaryota; Viridiplantae; Streptophyta; Magnoliopsida; Malpighiales; Euphorbiaceae. The record is from RNAcentral.